AUGGGCGAUUUUAAUGAAAUUCUGUAUGCCCACGAAAAAGGAGGAAAUGCAAGACCAAAUUCAAUGAUGAGAGAAUUUCGCAAUUGUUUGGGAGAGUGCAGUCUGGAUGAUAUGGGAUAUAUUGGAGAUCAAUUCACUUGGAGGAGAGGGGACAUAAGGGAGAGACUUGAUCGUGCGGUUUGCAAUUUAGAAUGGGCAAAUAAAUUUCCUCGGGCUGCUGUAGUGAAUGAGGAACAUGUUCACUCUGACCAUCAUCCUCUCAUCCUGGAUACAGAUUACUUUGAUGAUAAUAUGUUUAAUCGCCCAAGGGGUCGAACAAAACAGUUUGAAGCUAGAUGGCUACAAGAAGAGAUGGUCGGGUAG
RNAcentral lists this ribosomal RNA (363 nucleotides) under Triticum aestivum (bread wheat). RNAcentral's name for it is "partial small subunit ribosomal RNA". Lineage: Eukaryota; Viridiplantae; Streptophyta; Magnoliopsida; Poales; Poaceae. The record is from RNAcentral.